Molecule: small RNA, 68 nt
Organism: Streptomyces rubellomurinus
Lineage: Bacteria; Bacillati; Actinomycetota; Actinomycetes; Kitasatosporales; Streptomycetaceae
Rfam family: ASdes TB sRNA
Source: Rfam
AGCUCGACCGGGUCGACGGCCCGGGUGGCGAGCAGGAAGUCGCGGAUGGCUAUCCCGUGCCGGCCCUC